AACAAUGACGUCAUAAGAAAAUGGAAAAGGAGUGACUUCCCCCCCAGGCCUCAAGGUGCUGGAAGACAAAUGUGUUGCUUUCCUACUCCUUAUAUUCAUAGUUGCCACAGGGAUUCAGGCAGUGCCAAUUGAAUUUAGUGAUUGUCUAUGAAAAGAUGAAGUUUAUCGGUUUCUAUUUCUUGGAGAUGGAAGCUAGAGGAAGAGAUAGAGCCUAGGGAAAUCAAAGGGAACUUGGAAUUGAACUCAUGGAUGCUUGCUGGCAGGAGGAAGAAAUAGGAGAGCCUGGGAUUUUGGAUGGUUUAUGUGACCCUUACUUCCUAUCCUACCCUCCACAUUCAACUCAAUUAAUCUCAAGUUGAAACAGAUUUAUUUAUAUUUUCCAGAACAUUCUCGCGAUGUUGUCUUGAUUUGGGCCAGUUUCUAAGUGCUUUCUUUCCUUUUGUUUGAAAAGAAACAUGAGCCUCUGGUCCCUAUUAAAAAGGAAGAAAGCAUCAUGGAUAUCCAGCUUCCCUCCAGCUACCCCGAAUCUGAGCAGACUGCAUGACUCAUCUUUCCUAGAAACACAACAAUGAGGUCAUCCUGUCUGCUUCCUUCCCACUCUGAGUACAGUUGAAUUGGGUUCCUCUGUUCUUCCUCUGUUCUCAGAGAUUUUUUUUGAAAAGCCCUCUGCUUGUUAAAAUGCCAGAGUGUUGUUAUAUAAUUGGAAUACAGCAAGAAAGAACACUA
This is a long non-coding RNA of Rattus norvegicus (Norway rat), 726 nucleotides long. RefSeq lists it as uncharacterized. The record is from RefSeq and is a predicted model, not a curated record. NCBI's taxonomy places the organism in Eukaryota, Metazoa, Chordata, Mammalia, Rodentia, Muridae.